This 460-nucleotide ribosomal RNA is filed under the name uncultured bacterium. RNAcentral describes it as "partial 16S ribosomal RNA". It matches the Rfam family "Bacterial small subunit ribosomal RNA", at positions 338 to 795 of the family's 1533-position model. The record is from RNAcentral.
CCUACGGGUGGCAGCAGUGAGGAAUAUUGGACAAUGGACGCGAGCCUGAACCAGCCAAGUCGCGUGAAGGAUGACUGCCCUACGGGUUGUAAACUUCUUUUGUAAAGGAAUAAAAUGAGGCACGUGUGCCUUUUUGUUUGUACUUUAUUAAUAAAGAUCGGCUAACUCCGUACCAGCCGCCGCGGUAAUACGGAGGGUCCGAGCGUUAUCCGGAUUUAUUGUGUUUAAAGUGAGAGCAGACGGGUUGUUAAGUUAGAUGUGAAAGGCUGCGGAUCAACCGUAGAAUUGCACUUGAUACUGGCAGCCUUGAGUACAGAUGAGGUAGGCGGAAUUCGUGGUGUAGCGGUGAAAUGCUUAGAGAUCACGAAGAACGCCGAUUGCGAAGGCAGCUGACUAAACUGCCACUGACGUUGAUGCUCGAAAGUGUGGGUAUCGAACAGGAUUAGAUACCCUGGUAGUC